This 497-nucleotide ribosomal RNA is filed under the name uncultured bacterium. RNAcentral describes it as "partial 16S ribosomal RNA". It matches the Rfam family "Bacterial small subunit ribosomal RNA", at positions 28 to 507 of the family's 1533-position model. The record is from RNAcentral.
GAUGAACGCUGGCGGCGUGCCUAAUACAUGCAAGUCGAGCGAACAGACGAGGAGCUUGCUCCUCUGACGUUAGCGGCGGACGGGUGCGUAACACGUGGAUAAACUACCUAUAAGACUGGGAUAACUUCGGGAAACCGGAGCUAAUACCGGAUAAUAUAUUGAACCGCAUGGUUCAAUAGUGAAAGACGGUUUUGCUGUCACUUAUAGAUGGAUCCGCGCCGCAUUAGCUAGUUGGUAAGGUAACGGCUUACCAAGGCAACGAUGCGUAGCCGACCUGAGAGGGUGAUCGGCCACACUGGAACUGAGACACGGUCCAGACUCCUACGGGAGGCAGCAGUAGGGAAUCUUCCGCAAUGGGCGAAAGCCUGACGGAGCAACGCCGCGUGAGUGAUGAAGGUCUUCGGAUCGUAAAACUCUGUUAUUAGGGAAGAACAAAUGUGUAAGUAACUAUGCACGUCUUGACGGUACCUAAUCAGAAAGCCACGGCUAACUACGUG